Molecule: ribosomal RNA, 1001 nt
Filed under: Apodospora peruviana
Lineage: Eukaryota; Fungi; Ascomycota; Sordariomycetes; Sordariales; Lasiosphaeriaceae
Description: LSU rRNA
Rfam family: Eukaryotic large subunit ribosomal RNA
Source: RNAcentral
UUGCCCCAGUAACGGCGAGUGAAGCGGCAACAGCUCAAAUUUGAAAUCUGGCUUCGGCCCGAGUUGUAAUUUGUAGAGGAAGCUUUUGGCGAGGUGCCUUCUGAGUCCCCUGGAACGGGGCGCCAUAGAGGGUGAGAGCCCCGUAUAGUUGGACACCUAGCCUCUGUAAAGCUCCUUCGACGAGUCGAGUAGUUUGGGAAUGCUGCUCAAAAUGGGAGGUAAAUUUCUUCUAAAGCUAAAUAUUGGCCAGAGACCGAUAGCGCACAAGUAGAGUGAUCGAAAGAUGAAAAGCACUUUGAAAAGAGGGUUAAACAGCACGUGAAAUUGUUGAAAGGGAAGCGCUUGUGACCAGACAUGCGCCGGGCGGAUCAUCCGGUGUUCUCACCGGUGCACUCCGCCCGGCUCAGGCCAGCAUCGGUUCUCGCGGGGGGAUAAAGGCCUGGGGAACGUAGCUCCUCCGGGAGUGUUAUAGCCCUGGGCGCAACGCCCUCGCGGAGACCGAGGUUCGCGCAUCUGCAAGGAUGCUGGCGUAAUGGUCAUCAGCGACCCGUCUUGAAACACGGACCAAGGAGUCAAGGUUUUGCGCGAGUGUUUGGGUGUUAAACCCGCACGCGUAAUGAAAGUGAACGUAGGUGAGAGCUUCGGCGCAUCAUCGACCGAUCCUGAUGUAUUCGGAUGGAUUUGAGUAGGAGCGUUAAGCCUUGGACCCGAAAGAUGGUGAACUAUGCUUGGAUAGGGUGAAGCCAGAGGAAACUCUGGUGGAGGCUCGCAGCGGUUCUGACGUGCAAAUCGAUCGUCAAAUCUGAGCAUGGGGGCGAAAGACUAAUCGAACCAUCUAGUAGCUGGUUACCGCCGAAGUUUCCCUCAGGAUAGCAGUGUUGUUCUUCAGUUUUAUGAGGUAAAGCGAAUGAUUAGGGACUCGGGGGCGCUUUUUAGCCUUCAUCCAUUCUCAAACUUUAAAUAUGUAAGAAGCCCUUGUUACUUAAUUGAACGUGGGCAUU